Molecule: long non-coding RNA, 1081 nt
Filed under: Homo sapiens (human)
Lineage: Eukaryota; Metazoa; Chordata; Mammalia; Primates; Hominidae
Description: HSALNT0367134
Source: RNAcentral
GUCCUGCGCUGCGUCAGGGUGCCGAGGCGGGGUUUCUCGCCUCCGGUCACAAUGGGACCUCUGUACCGCGCUGGGCUUGUUGGCCUGCGAUUAGCACACACCCAUCCCUGGGAACUGCUAGUCUGGAAAGCGGGGCUGCUUCUCCGGGAUGAGCCCGAGCCCUGCCAAGCCCCUCAAGGCAUUGAAGCUUUAGCUCACCUUAUCCGAAUGGUCAUUGGGCAUCUGGACUUGAGUUAACGACUGAAUUUUUCUGGGAAGCAAGGGACACGUUCUAAAAUAACCCCAGGAUCACUCUCCGAACUUGGCCUGAGUCUAGGCAAGCAGUGUUACUCGGUCGCCUUGAUCUUGGAGCUGCUGUGUACUGGGGACCUCAUACUAGUUGGGUUAACUAUAUUCCCAUUAGCAGUACGCGGGAUCGCAGUACUCGGGACAAGCUGAGUUCAGGUAUUUGGCUGCUAUGAGUAACACGAUCUGGAAAGACAGCGCUAGCAAGGAAUGAGGAGUGAUACAGUGACUGGAGGCUAAGAGAUAAUGUCUGCAAGUCACCUAAAACCAUUGCAGACACAGGGAGAUUGAUGGAUUUGGAGGACUUCUGGUUGUGAAGACUCUGACGAUUGCUAAAGAGGUACAAAUGAACAUCCAGAUAAAGAGGUCCUGAACUUCUGCCAAUACUGUAGGUAUCUUUAGCUAUCUACGGCCUUCCCCACCGCAUCCUGUGUCUGUAAAGACUCCAGACUCAGCUGGCAGAGGAGAGAAGUGGCUGGAUGUUGGGAAGAAGCAAGUUGACCUCAGAGAAAGCAGCUGGAUGUCAGAAAGAGGCAAUUUGACUUCCGAAGAGAGAGACAGAGAGGUGACUUAACCUCAGGGGAGAGCAACCUGCCCUUGAGACAGAGAGGUGACUUAACCUCAGGGGAGAGCAACCUGCCCUUCCCAUCCCCUUUCCAGCUCCCCUCUCCGCUGAGAGUUGCUUUCAUCACUGAAUAAAAUUCUCCACAUUCACCAUGCUUCAGUUCGUCUGUAUGACCUCAUUCCUUUUGAGCACCAGAAAAGAAUUCGGGAUGCACUAAGCACAGGUACCCAA